RNAcentral lists this ribosomal RNA (245 nucleotides) under uncultured archaeon. RNAcentral's name for it is "partial 16S ribosomal RNA". It matches the Rfam family "Archaeal small subunit ribosomal RNA", at positions 474 to 718 of the family's 1478-position model. The record is from RNAcentral.
UCCCAGCACUCCGAGUCGCAGCCACAAUUAUUGGGUCUAAAACAUCCGUAGCUUGCAUUGUAAGUCUCUUGUGAAAUCGGGCAUCUUAAGUGUCCGUCGGGCAAGAGAUACUGCUUUGCUAGAGACCGGGAGGCGUAAGAAGUACAGAUAGGGUAGCGGUAAAAUGUGUUGAUCCUUUCUGGACUCACAGUCGCGAAGGCGUCUUACGAGAACGGAUCUGACAGUGAGGGAUGAAGGCUAGGGGC